GGCAAGGUAGAUCCCUGCCCUUAAGAAACUUACGCUCUGUAGAGACUCAGUGAUACACAUUUGAAGUUGGGAAAUAAUUACAAGGAAAUAAUUACAACUCACAAAUCCUCUCCCUUUGAGGAAAAGAUCAAAAGGACCGUGGUACAGUGAAUCAUUGUCUUUUUGCCUGUUAGGAUUGCCCAAGUGCUCUGGGAAAGCAUUUGGGCUGGAGGUGACCAGGAGCCAGGACUGGAUCUUAGAGGAGGCUCUUCACUUUCCCACUCCCUGCCCUGGAUCUGUUUCCUCCCCAGGAGCCUGGGAAUGACAGUGUUGGCUCUCUGACUCACCAGGACGUCAUAAAGAUGGACGUUGACGUUGUACCGGUCACGUAUGAGGAAGCAGCACUUUGAAGUUCCCUUGGGCCACUGCUAUGCUCCCAAGCCCUCAGCCUCUGGGAUACUUGGCCUUGGAACUCAGUCUCCAUAUCGUGAGGAAGCCCAGCCACAUGAAGAGGUGUCAUGACUCUGUUCUGACCAAGAGUGCCAGCUGCAACAAGCCCCAGGCAUGUGAGUAAAAGUGGCUUCAGAUCCAGCCUUUGAACCACUUUGUCUGAUACCAAGUAGA
Nycticebus coucang (slow loris) is the source of this 603-nucleotide long non-coding RNA. RefSeq lists it as uncharacterized. Lineage: Eukaryota; Metazoa; Chordata; Mammalia; Primates; Lorisidae. The record is from RefSeq and is a predicted model, not a curated record. The transcript has 3 exons.